AGAAAUGUUUACAUGGAAGCGUUCUUAGCGGCGGACGGGUGAGUAACACGUGGGUAACCUGCCUCAAAGUGGGGGAUAGCCUUCCGAAAGGAAGAUUAAUACCGCAUAAGCCUACAGUGCCGCAUGGCACCGUAGGAAAAGGAGCAAUCCGCUUUGAGAUGGACCCGCGGCGCAUUAGCUAGUUGGUGAGGUAACGGCUCACCAAGGCGACGAUGCGUAGCCGACCUGAGAGGGUGAUCGGCCACAUUGGAACUGAGACACGGUCCAGACUCCUACGGGAGGCAGCAGUGGGGAAUAUUGCACAAUGGGCGAAAGCCUGAUGCAACAACGCCGCGUGAGUGAUGAAGGCCUUCGGGUCGUAAAGCUCUUUGAUCAGGGAUGAUAAUGACAGUACCUGAAAAACAAGCCACGGCUAACUACGUGCCAGCAGCCGCGGUAAUACGUAGGUGGCGAGCGUUGUCCGGAAUUACUGGGCGUAAAGGAUGCGUAGGUGGAUACUUAAGUGGGAUGUGAAAUCCCCGGGCUCAACCCGGGAACUGCAUUCCAAACUGGGUAUCUAGAGUGCAGGAGAGGAAAGCGGAAUUCCUAGUGUAGCGGUGAAAUGCGUAGAUAUUAGGAGGAACACCAGUGGCGAAGGCGGCUUUCUGGACUGUAACUGACACUGAGGCAUGAAAGCGUGGGUAGCAAACAGGAUUAGAUACCCUGGUAGUCCACGCCGUAAACGAUGGGUACUAGGUGUAGGAGGUAUCGACCCCUUCUGUGCCGUCGUUAACACAAUAAGUACCCCGCCUGGGGAGUACGGUCGCAAGACUAAAACUCAAAGGAAUUGACGGGGGCCCGCACAAGCGGCGGAGCAUGUGGUUUAAUUCGAAGCAACGCGAAGAACCUUACCUAGACUUGACAUCUCCUGAAUUACCCUUAACCGGGGAAGCCCUUCGGGGCAGGAAGACAGGUGGUGCAUGGUUGUCGUCAGCUCGUGUCGUGAGAUGUUGGGUUAA
Molecule: ribosomal RNA, 998 nt
Filed under: uncultured bacterium
Lineage: Bacteria
Description: bacterial SSU rRNA
Rfam family: Bacterial small subunit ribosomal RNA
Source: RNAcentral